RNAcentral lists this ribosomal RNA (501 nucleotides) under Texoreddellia texensis. RNAcentral's name for it is "partial 16S ribosomal RNA". It matches the Rfam family "Bacterial large subunit ribosomal RNA", at positions 1829 to 2600 of the family's 2925-position model. Lineage: Eukaryota; Metazoa; Arthropoda; Insecta; Zygentoma; Nicoletiidae. The record is from RNAcentral.
GGUUUUUUGGUUAAGUAUUUAAAGUUUGACCUGCCCAAUGAUGAGUUUAAUGGCCGCGGUAUUGUGACCGUGCAAAGGUAGCAUAAUCAUUAGUCUUUUAAUUAAGGGCUUGUAUGAAUGGUUGGACGAGGAGGGGACUGUCUUCAAAUGAAGUUUUGUAUUUGAAUUUUACUUUUAAGUGAAAAGGCUUAAAUGGUCUUGGGGGGCGAUAAGACCCUAUAGAUCUUUACAUUGUUAUGUUGUUAAGUUGUAAUGAUAUACGGUGUUGGGUUGGGGCGACAGGAAGAUAGGAAUAACUUUUUGGUUUAUAAGGUUACUGUUUUGUAUAUUAAGGAUCCACGGUUAUAGUGAUUAUGAGACUAAGUUACCUUAGGGAUAACAGCGUAAUCUUUUUUGAGAGUUCAUAUCGAGAGAAGGGAUUGCGACCUCGAUGUUGGAUUAAGGUUUCUUUGUGGNGUAGAAGCUACAAGGGAGGGUCUGUUCGACCUUUAAAUCCUUACA